GCCCCUGUAGUUCAAUGGAUAGAACGCGAGCCUCCGAAGCUCGAAGUGUGGGUUCGAUUCCCGCCGGGGGUACAA
This 75-nucleotide transfer RNA is filed under the name Stygiobacter sp. GWC2_38_9. Its description in RNAcentral is "Ignavibacteria bacterium GWC2_38_9 tRNA-Arg". It matches the Rfam family "tRNA". Rfam says of the family: Transfer RNA (tRNA) molecules are approximately 80 nucleotides in length. Their secondary structure includes four short double-helical elements and three loops (D, anti-codon, and T loops). Further hydrogen bonds mediate the characteristic L-shaped molecular structure. tRNAs have two regions of fundamental functional importance: the anti-codon, which is responsible for specific mRNA codon recognition, and the 3' end, to which the tRNAs corresponding amino acid is attached (by aminoacyl-tRNA synthetases). tRNAs cope with the degeneracy of the genetic code in two manners: having more than one tRNA (with a specific anti-codon) for a particular amino acid; and 'wobble' base-pairing, i.e. permitting non-standard base-pairing at the 3rd anti-codon position. RNAcentral also lists the same sequence under 7 other names. The record is from RNAcentral. Lineage: Bacteria; Pseudomonadati; Ignavibacteriota; Ignavibacteria; Ignavibacteriales; Melioribacteraceae.